Trichosurus vulpecula (common brushtail) is the source of this 1488-nucleotide long non-coding RNA. RefSeq lists it as uncharacterized. The transcript has 6 exons. The record is from RefSeq and is a predicted model, not a curated record. NCBI's taxonomy places the organism in Eukaryota, Metazoa, Chordata, Mammalia, Diprotodontia, Phalangeridae.
GCAUGGUGGAUGUCAGAGGAGAAGGGACUUUGGAACAGACAAUGUCAGAGCUGGGAGGAACCAGCUGAAGCCUUGGUGCUUUGACAUACCAUGGAUGACAGUGUGAUAUUGGGUGCUGUCUGCUGCCCCACAGAAAACCUCGAGCAUUUCAUGUGGUGAAGGCUCAGGGGAUCUCCACAAGUCUGCAAACCUUCGGCACAGGAAACUGAGGCCUGGAAUUAAGGAGUGUGCCCUGCAUCACAGUGAGAGUCCAGGUAUAACGCAGGCCCAGAUACAGUGUUUGCCUUUGAAGAGCAGGCCCUUCUGAAACAGCAGCAGAGGAGGAGGGAGAAUGGAGUUCUCGAGAUGGGUAUGGAACUGGAGGUGAAGGGCCCUGGCUGCCCACACUGGGAAUGCCAUCCCCUGAUGGAGAUGCAGAUCUCCUCCUUCCCAAUAGCUACAAUUUGCAGAAACAGACAGCUCCUCCACUUCUCCCGGAUCCAGAAAUGAAGCUACACAGGAUCCUCAGGAUGAAAACUAGAUGCCCCAGCUGUCCCUGUGGUGACUCACGAUGUCCUCACCUGUGAACUUAUUGGCUUUCACUACAACACUCUCCUUGAAGGGAAUCAACUCCCAACACGGCAAACUUCCAUCUCUCUUCCACUCCCCUGCUGCUUUUAGGAGCCUUAGCCUGGUUUCUCUGCCUGCUGUCACCCUUUGGUACCAAGAAGAGGAACAAAGCAGUGGAAUGGGGCAGAGGACCUUCAUUCAGAUCCCAGCUGUGCUGUGUGACACUGGGUAACUUGCUUAACCUUUCUGGGUCUGUGUCCUUAUCUGUAAAAGGAGGUGGUUAGACUAGACCACCCUGAGGCUCUUCUAGCCCAAAAUCUGUAAAUAUGUGAAUCUCUGCCAGGAGAAACGAUCUAGGACCCACUUCCCUUUUGGCUUGGUCCCUGAGCCAGGGACGGAAGCUUCCAGAGGGCAGGGGAUCACAAUCCGGAUACUUGGGUACCAUGACACCACCAUUCCCCCAAUGCCAACCUUCACUGGCUCUGGCUGGGUGCCUUGGGGGUGCACUCUAGCCGCCUCCUCCCAUGGCUCUGACAGAAAACAACAGCAAAUAGAGCCAUAAAUCACUCCUCUUGGCCGCCCUGGCUAGGGCUCGAGUUGGUCACAGCAGCCCAACAUCCAGGCGGAGGGCGCUGGCCAGGGCAGCCCGCGGGUGGAGGGGGCUGGCCCGCAGCUGCCUUCCUCGCUCCCUCCCCAGCCCAAGCUGCGUCCUGUGCUCUGGGGGGCUGGGGGUGGGCACCUAGCUGGGCCCGCUUUGCCAAGUUUCAGGUAUUCUAGUCACAUCUUCCCCACACCUGCCCCUGCUGAUGCUGGCUGUUCGUCUCUUUCCCUAGUCCCAGUUUGGGGUGAAAGCCUUCCUUAUUAGUCAAUCUGGAUCCCCAUUUACUGCGAAUUACCUAGCUUGAUUGUUAUUCAUGAGUGGAUAAAUCUGAAAUCUCA